Molecule: ribosomal RNA, 267 nt
Filed under: uncultured bacterium
Lineage: Bacteria
Description: partial 16S ribosomal RNA
Rfam family: Bacterial small subunit ribosomal RNA
Source: RNAcentral
GUCCACACCGUAAACGAUGAGUGCUAAGUGUUAGAGGGUUUCCGCCCUUUAGUGCUGCAGCUAACGCAUUAAGCACUCCGCCUGGGGAGUACGGCCGCAAGGCUGAAACUCAAAGGAAUUGACGGGGGCCCCGCACAAGCGGUGGAGCAUGUGGUUUAAUUCGAAGCAACGCGAAGAACCUUACCAGGUCUUGACAUCCUCUGACAACCCUAGAGAUAGGGCGUUCCCCUUCGGGGGACAGAGUGACAGGUGGUGCAUGGUUGUCGU